Caenorhabditis brenneri is the source of this 72-nucleotide non-coding RNA. The record is from Rfam. NCBI's taxonomy places the organism in Eukaryota, Metazoa, Nematoda, Chromadorea, Rhabditida, Rhabditidae.
GGGGGUAUAGCUCAGAGGUAGAGCGCUCCCUUCGCAUGGGAGAAGUCUGGGGUUCGAUCCCCCAUUCCUCCA